Molecule: RNA transcript, 1889 nt
Organism: Syngnathoides biaculeatus (alligator pipefish)
Lineage: Eukaryota; Metazoa; Chordata; Actinopteri; Syngnathiformes; Syngnathidae
Exons: 7
Source: RefSeq, a predicted model, not a curated record
CUGGGACAGGUAUCAUGUUGAAGGUCGCAUGUUUGACAUAACUUGAUUGUUGGUCAAAGUGGCAACGAAAGGUAUACCUGUGAUGUCUGUGUUCAACUUUUGGACGGAUGAGGGCAGUUUUUAAGUUAGUUCUUUUCUGCUGUAGUAUAAUUUUCCGCCAAAUUUAAUCACGUGACGUAAUUUCACGUUCGCGUAUUUUGAGCCUUAUUGCGAGCCGUCAGUCUCCAUGGGAACGCUGUACCGCCAUUGUUGUUGUUGACUUUCUCGGAGUUAAAUUACACAUCACACUCUCUUCUCCGUCUUCUAUCCUUUUCCUCUUGUCUUCGUAUCCAGAGUUUGUUCAAUAGACAGACGCAGCUCGCUUCUGCCUUCGUACGUUUUUGGGGAAGGGCAGAUUUUUUUUUUUUUAGAGCACGAUAGCCGCCUGCUAAAAUGGCGCCGGAGCUCCCGUUUACCUGCUGCUAGCAUGAAACAACAACAACAAAGAUGGUCAAAUGAACAAGUUGGUGCUGUCUCUUCACUGAGUUUUGUGUUCAAAUGGCGACAGUGGUUUUUGCCCCUAAUUGUUGGCUUGACGUCAUAGCAGACAGACGGCUCAUGCCGUGUUUUGACAAGUUGAGCCCCAACGACAACGGAAAAAAAAAAGAGAUUGACGUGAGCCCAGAAGACGAAAACCAACAACAACAAGCUCUUUGCUCUUCAAGCCAAGCAUCAGCUAUCUAUUUGUCCUGACCUCUGACACCAGCUAAAACAGAUGAGUGACAGUAAGUGUGAGUGGCAUCCAUAGCAGCCCAGGGGCCUCCAGAGACUUCUUUCCAAAAUUCACCUGACAUCAGUAAACACAAGCAAUCACAAGAAACGGUAAAUACAUCCUAGACAUGUGACCUUCAUGGAGGCAGAGAAUGAGUUCACACUUGGUCAGUUCUCAUCACUGGGAUCAAGCUUUAACCAUAGGGGGCUGAUCAAAACUAUCCAGUCAUCAAUCAGGAGUAGGCCUGAUUUGGGAAAACUCUUAAUUGCAAGGUUGUUCCUGUUUUGGGUUUAGCCGUGCCCCUUCCCGCCAUCAUUAUGAUCGGCAUUACGCUCUACAUGCUCGUCCUGGGCCUCGUCCUCUGGAUACGAUUCUGCCUCAAGGAGCGCUGCUCGCUGGCGUGUGAGUCGUGCUGUCCCAGCUUCUCCGUAUGGGAUCACUGUUUCAGACUAGCGCAGUCGUGUGACUGUCAGCCACUAACGGUGCGCUCGUGUCUGACGGAUAUCGGCUCGGUACCCUCGGUUUCCAAGUGGGAUUGCGCGUGCACGUGUCAGCCCCCUGAGUGCGAGUCGUGCAACUGUUUGUGCUUCGAGAUCCGCAUCAAGUAGUUCUGCACCACUCUCCAGACACACAACAAUUGAAAACAUUAAUUUAACACAACUGAACUCAACAUGUCAAAGAACAUUUGAAACUGUGGACUGAAUGACAUCCAUCAUUUUCUAAGCUGCUUAUCCCCACAAGGGUUGUGGGAGUGUUGGGGCCUAUCCCAGCUCUCAUUGGGAAGGAGGUGCGGUACACCCUACACUGGUUGCCAGCCAAUCGCAGGGCACAUGGAGAUAAACAACCACCCACACGCACAUUCACACCUAAGAGCAAUUUUGGGGUCUCCAAUUAAUGCCUGUUUUUGGGAUCUGGGAGGAAACCGGUGUGGCCGGACAGAACCCACACAAGCACGGGUAGAACAUGCAAACUCCACACAGGGAUAGGAACCCCGGUCCUCAGAACUGUGAGGUCAACGCCCUAACCAGACGCUCCACCGUGCUGCCUGGACUGAAUGCAUUUAACCCAAUUUCCAAGUGUAUUAAACAGAAAUGGACUGAAGUGAACCUUGAGCAGAAUACCUGUUCAAGAACGUUGA